UUAUACAGCGAAACUGCGAAUGGCUCAUUAUAUAAGUUAUCGUUUAUUUGAUAGCACCUUACUACUUGGAUAACCGUGGUAAUUCUAGAGCUAAUACAUGCUAAAAAUCCCGACUUCGGAAGGGAUGUAUUUAUUAGAUUAAAAACCAAUGCCUUUUGGCUUUUUGGUGAUUCAUGAUAACUUCUCGAAUCGCAUGGCCUUGCGCCGGCGAUGGUUCAUUCAAAUUUCUUCCCUAUCAACUUUCGAUGCGAAGGUCUUGUCUUCGCAUGGUUACAACGGGUAACGGAGGGUUAGGGCUCGACCCCGGAGAGGGAGCCUGAGAAAUGGCUACCACUUUUAAGGAAGGCAGCAGGCGCGCAAAUUACCCAAUCCCGACACGGGGAGGUAGUGACAAUAAAUACUGAUACAGGGCUCUUAUGGGUCUUGUAAUCGGAAUGAGUACAAUUUAAAUCCCUUAACGAGGAACAAUUGGAGGGCAAGUCUGGUGCCAGCAGCCGCGGUAAUUCCAGCUCCAAUAGCGUAUAUUAAAGUUGUUGUGGUUAAAAAGCUCGUAGUUGAACCUUGGGCCUGGCUGGCCGGUCCCCCUCACCGGGUGCACUGGUCCGGCCGGGUCUUUCCCUCUAUGGAACCUCAUGCUCUUUACUGAGUGUGACGGGGAAAUAGGACUUUUACUUUGAAAAAAUUAGAGUGCUCCAGGCAGGCCUAUGCUCGAAUAGUACAGCAUGGAAUAAUAGAAUAGGACGUGUGGUUCUAUUUUGUUGGUUUCUAGGACCGCCGUAAUGAUUAAUAGGGACAGUCGGGGGCAUCAGUAUUCAGCUGUCAGAGGUGAAA
RNAcentral lists this ribosomal RNA (831 nucleotides) under Ambrosiella hartigii. RNAcentral describes it as "SSU rRNA". It matches the Rfam family "Eukaryotic small subunit ribosomal RNA", at positions 74 to 916 of the family's 1831-position model. Lineage: Eukaryota; Fungi; Ascomycota; Sordariomycetes; Microascales; Ceratocystidaceae. The record is from RNAcentral.